This 526-nucleotide ribosomal RNA is filed under the name Jamides celeno. RNAcentral's name for it is "partial 16S ribosomal RNA". The stretch from base 383 to 526 matches the Rfam family "Archaeal large subunit ribosomal RNA", at positions 2542 to 2686 of the family's 2987-position model. Lineage: Eukaryota; Metazoa; Arthropoda; Insecta; Lepidoptera; Lycaenidae. The record is from RNAcentral.
UUUUGAAUUUAAUUUAAAGUCUAAUCUGCCCACUGAUUUAAAAUUAAAGGGCUGCAGUAAUUUGACUGUACAAAGGUAGCAUAAUCAUUAGUCUUUUAAUUGAAGACUUGUAUGAAAGAUUUGAUGAGAUAUAAACUGUCUCUUAUUUAUAAUUAAAAUUUAAUUUUUUAGUUAAAAAGCUAAAAUAAAUUUAAAAGACGAGAAGACCCUAUAGAGUUUUAUAAUUUAUAAAUUAAAAUAUUUAUAUAAAAUUUUAAUAUUAAAUUUUGUUAAUUAUUUUAUUGGGGUGAUAAAAAAAUUUAAAAAACUUUUUUUUAAAAAUUUUCAUAAAUAAAUGAAUAAAUGAUCUUGAAUAAUGAUUAAAAGAAAAAAUUACCUUAGGGAUAACAGCGUAAUAUUUUUUUUUAGUACAAAUAAAAAAAAAAGUUUGCGACCUCGAUGUUGGAUUAAGAUAAAAUUUAAAUGCAAAAGUUUAAAAUUUUGAUCUGUUCGAUCAUUAAAAUCUUACAUGAUCUGAGCUCAAACC